Molecule: small RNA, 168 nt
Filed under: Eubacterium sp. CAG:38
Lineage: Bacteria; Bacillati; Bacillota; Clostridia; Eubacteriales; Eubacteriaceae
Description: Clostridiales-1 RNA
Rfam family: Clostridiales-1 RNA
Source: Rfam by way of RNAcentral
UGAUACCAGGGUCAAAAGGUCUAAACCCACAUGAGCUUGCUCAUAAGUGGGUGAAUGACCUUGUGACCCGCCCUAAUAUGAGCAUAAAAGCAGGACGAUAGUUCUGCGAUAUGCGAAUAUUUGGCAGGAUUGUGGGAGUGCGCAGCACGGAACAAUCCGCAGGUAUCA